AUUGAACGCUGGCGGCAGGCUUAACACAUGCAAGUCGAGCGGAGCGAGGGUGCUUGCACCUUAGCUUAGCGGUGGACAGGUGAGUAAUGCUUAGGAAUCUGCCUAUUAGUGGGGGACAACAUUCCGAAAGGAAUGCUAAUACCGCAUACGCCCUACGGGGGAAAGCAGGGGAGCUUCGGACCUUGCGCUAAUAGAUGAGCCUAAGUCGGAUUAGCUAGUUGGUGGGGUAAAGGACUACCAAGGCGACGAUCUGUAGCGGGUCUGAGAGGAUGAUCCGCCACACUGGGACUGAGACACGGCCCAGACUCCUACGGGAGGCAGCAGUGGGGAAUAUUGGACAAUGGGCGGAAGCCUGAUCCAGCCAUGCCGCGUGUGUGAAGAAGGCCUUUUGGUUGUAAAGCACUUUAAGCGAGGAGGAGGCUACUCAGAUUAAUACUCUAGGAUAGUGGACGUUACUCGCAGAAUAAGCACCGGCUAACUCUGUGCCAGCCGCCGCCGUAA
RNAcentral lists this ribosomal RNA (501 nucleotides) under uncultured bacterium. Its description in RNAcentral is "partial 16S ribosomal RNA". It matches the Rfam family "Bacterial small subunit ribosomal RNA", at positions 30 to 523 of the family's 1533-position model. The record is from RNAcentral.